AGUGAACGCUGGCGGCGUGCCUAAUACAUGCAAGUCGAACGGAGUGGCGCACGGGUGAGUAAUAUAUAGCUAAUCUGCCCCUUGCUGGAGGAUACCAGUUCGAAAUGACUUCUAAUACUCCAUAGCAAGGGAUGAGACUAUAUUGUAUCAGCUAGUCGGUGGGGUAACGGCCUACCGAGGCUAUGACGCGUAACUUGUCUGAGAGGAUGAUCAGUCACAUUGGAACGGAGGCACGGUCCAAAAUCCUACGGGAGGCAGCAGUAGGGAAUAUUGCGCAAUGGGGGAAACUCUGACGCAGCAACGCCGCGUGGAGGAUGACAAUUGUCGGAGCGUAAACUCCUUUUGUUAGGGAAGCGGUACCUAACGAAUAAGCACCGGCUAACUCCGUGCCAGCAGCCGCGGUAAUUC
RNAcentral lists this ribosomal RNA (408 nucleotides) under uncultured bacterium. Its description in RNAcentral is "partial 16S ribosomal RNA". It matches the Rfam family "Bacterial small subunit ribosomal RNA", at positions 29 to 526 of the family's 1533-position model. The record is from RNAcentral.